AGAUUGAACGCUGGCGGCAGGCCUAACACAUGCAAGUCGAGCGGUAGAGAGGUGCUUGCACCUCUUGAGAGCGGCGGACGGGUGAGUAAUGCCUAGGAAUCUGCCUAGUGGUGGGGGAUAACGUUCGGAAACGGACGCUAAUACCGCAUACGUCCUACGGGAGAAAGGGGCCGGUCGGUCCGCGCG
This 186-nucleotide ribosomal RNA is filed under the name uncultured soil bacterium. RNAcentral describes it as "partial 16S ribosomal RNA". It matches the Rfam family "Bacterial small subunit ribosomal RNA", at positions 26 to 217 of the family's 1533-position model. The record is from RNAcentral.